Molecule: ribosomal RNA, 476 nt
Filed under: uncultured bacterium
Lineage: Bacteria
Description: bacterial SSU rRNA
Rfam family: Bacterial small subunit ribosomal RNA
Source: RNAcentral
AUGAACGCUGGCGGCGUGCUUAACACAUGCAAGUCGAACGGGAAAUACUUCAUUGAGACUUCGGUGGAUUUGAUUUAUUUCUAGUGGCGGACGGGUGAGUAACGCGUGGGUAACCUGCCUUAUACAGGGGGAUAACAGUCAGAAAUGACUGCUAAUACCGCAUAAGCGCACGGAACCGCAUGGUUCAGUGUGAAAAACUCCGGUGGUAUAAGAUGGACCCGCGUUGGAUUAGCUAGUUGGUGGGGUAACGGCCCACCAAGGCGACGAUCCAUAGCCGGCCUGAGAGGGUGAACGGCCACAUUGGGACUGAGACACGGCCCAGACUCCUACGGGAGGCAGCAGUGGGGAAUAUUGCACAAUGGGGGAAACCCUGAUGCAGCGACGCCGCGUGAAGGAAGAAGUAUCUCGGUAUGUAAACUUCUAUCAGCAGGGAAGAUAGUGACGGUACCUGACUAAGAAGCCCCGGCUAACUACGU